AGUGAACGCUGGCGGUAGGCCUAACACAUGCAAGUCGAACGGCAGCACAGUAAGAGCUUGCUCUUACGGGUGGCGAGUGGCGGACGGGUGAGGAAUACAUCGGAAUCUACUUUUUCGUGGGGGAUAACGUAGGGAAACUUACGCUAAUACCGCAUACGACCUACGGGUGAAAGCAGGGGAUCUUCGGACCUUGCGCGAUUGAAUGAGCCGAUGUCGGACUAGCUAGUUGGCGGGGUAAAGGCCCACCAAGGCGACGAUCCGUAGCUGGUCUGAGAGGAUGAUCAGCCACACUGGAACUGAGACACGGUCCAGACUCCUACGGGAGGCAGCAGUGGGGAAUAUUGGCCAAUGGGCGCAAGCCUGAUCCAGCCAUACCGCGUGGGUGAAGAAGGCCUUCGGGUUGUAAAGCCCUUUUGUUGGGAAAGAAAAGCAGCAGGUUAAUACCCCGCUGUUCUGACGGUACCCAAAGAAUAAGCACCGGCUAACUUCGUG
RNAcentral lists this ribosomal RNA (492 nucleotides) under uncultured bacterium. RNAcentral describes it as "partial 16S ribosomal RNA". It matches the Rfam family "Bacterial small subunit ribosomal RNA", at positions 29 to 507 of the family's 1533-position model. The record is from RNAcentral.